CAGUCGCCACGGUAAUACAGAGGGUGCGAGCGUUAAUCGGAUUUACUGGGCGUAAAGCGUGCGUAGGCGGCUUCUUAAGUCGGAUGUGAAAUCCCUGAGCUUAACUUAGGAAUUGUAUUCGAUACUGGGAAGCUAGAGUAUGGGAGAGGAUGGUAGAAUUCCAGGUGUAGCGGUGAAAUGCGUAGAGAUCUGGAGGAAUACCGAUGGCGAAGGCAGCCAUCUGGCCUAAUACUGACGCUGAGGUACGAAAGCAUGGGGAGCAAACAGGAUUAGAUACCCCCGUAGUCCCUGUCUCUUAUAA
RNAcentral lists this ribosomal RNA (301 nucleotides) under uncultured bacterium. Its description in RNAcentral is "partial 16S ribosomal RNA". It matches the Rfam family "Bacterial small subunit ribosomal RNA", at positions 509 to 809 of the family's 1533-position model. The record is from RNAcentral.